Molecule: long non-coding RNA, 511 nt
Organism: Salvia miltiorrhiza (redroot sage)
Lineage: Eukaryota; Viridiplantae; Streptophyta; Magnoliopsida; Lamiales; Lamiaceae
Exons: 3
Source: RefSeq, a predicted model, not a curated record
ACAUGUCACUUGUGAAGUGUGUCCAAGGGAUCCACAAGGUAUAAAAAGAGGAAUUUGGCAACACAGUCUUCAAGUUCGAGCUAGCAUUAUAAGAGACUUCGUUGUACCAUGGGCAAGAUGGAACUGAACUUUAGGAGAGAGUGUUGCAGCUUAGACGAUUGUCGUAACAAUCACUCAGAAUCAUAAUUCCAUCCAGGGAAAGCAAACAAGAGAAUGAAGGAGAGGAAAAGUGACCGGCGUUUUUCACCACCCAUCUUGCUAAUAGGCAUGCAGGCUAUUGCAGCAUAUUAAUGAACAACCUUCUGCACGUGGAGUGGAAACGAUUAGAUUCCGUGGCUGACGAGGACCAGACCAACAGCAACUGAUAAAUUUGUAGUGUGUCGACACUUAAUAUCCUUAUUACAGCGAAGAAAUCUGUAAUGAAAUUAGAAACUUUAGCAUUCUACAAUCUAUUUAUACUAAAUCUAUACUAUAUUCAAAAUGGAGUUUUCAAUUUAAAAUCAAUUUCAAA